Long non-coding RNA from Aplysia californica (California sea hare), 1304 nucleotides. RefSeq lists it as uncharacterized. The transcript has 2 exons. NCBI's taxonomy places the organism in Eukaryota, Metazoa, Mollusca, Gastropoda, Aplysiida, Aplysiidae. The record is from RefSeq and is a predicted model, not a curated record.
AACAGAGGAUGAAAACGUAAAAAGUAAAAGUAAGUGAUAGCGAUGGGUUUUUGUUUUGUUUUGAAGAUGCUAUAAUUUAGGUUUGAGCUCCACCACUAGGCUAUAACAAGCAGACUCCCACCACCUACAGGUUAUGAUGGGCUAAAUUUUAUAACCUCUUUGGCGCGAAUCAAACUCGUUCAUUCUUGGUAUCGAUACGCGUACAACUCGAUUACUGUUCCGCUCAGACGGCAGACGAGAGAGUGGGUGAGUUGGGUUAGUUCACGAGCAGCUGGCUUGCACUCGGCGUCGUUGGGUGUGUGUCUGUGUGUGUGUAGCCUGUGUGGUGUGUAUGUGUGUGUGUCGUCUGCUGUGCCCUCCCUGUGCGUGUUUAGUGCUGGCUAAAAGCAGAAGAGAAGAGCGGUUGAGUUGAGUGGAGAGUUCGCUGGCUCACCAGGAUUAUUAUUGGGGGUUUCCGUGUGAGUACCGACUGAGUGUGUGCGUGAGUGUGUGUGGAUUCAGCAAACGCUCACCACCACGCGAACAAGUGGGUCAGUUUUGUGAAAGUUUUUUUCCGCUGAGAACAGCAACCCCCCGCCCCGGACGAUGAUAAUCCUACUGAAAGUGAACCCCUCGGUAAAUCGAUGUUCGAAGCGUCGGCAAUGAUGUGUACAUUUUGCAUGUUGUAGCUGUGGGUUUUUUUGUGUUUUUGUUUUUGUUUUGUUUUGUAUUGUUUUGUUUUAUUGGGUUUUAUAUUGUUUUUGCUUUUUUUUCGAAGAACUGCACACAGAAAUGUUGUCAACAUUCAUUCUGCUUUUAUUUCUUUGCCAAGUCGGAUGCUGCCCUGGGUUAAUGACUUUGUUAUUAACCUGAUAACUGUGCGGUGGAUUGCCAUUAGGGUAACUGAUUAGUCGUAUGAUAGCAAUUCUAGGGUAUACUUCUUUGUUUGCUUUUGGAGAGCUGCGCUUGUAGGUCUUUACUUUCCCACUGUUUUACCGUCUGUCUGUCAUUCUUGCUCUUUUUCUGCUCCAAAUGGCAGUUAUUGUGUCAACAUCUUUAAUCUUUCCCUUUUCUCAGUUAAAAAAGAAAUCCUCCCUCUCACCAACUUACUCAAUCUCCUUCUUUCAACUCCACCACUUUCCGGAUUUACAAGUUUUAAAUUUAAGUAAGGUAGGUUGGAUCAAGCACCUAGUCUCUCGGAUAAGGACGAUAAAUCUUGGAGGUCGUGCGUGCCCCUUGUGCCCGUUAAAGAUCUCACGGUGCUUGAAAAUCCUAGAAGAAAAGGUUGUAAAAUCGCCAAUUUAAAAUCCAAAAGUACUCUAAUG